This is a long non-coding RNA of Drosophila mojavensis, 741 nucleotides long. RefSeq lists it as uncharacterized. The record is from RefSeq and is a predicted model, not a curated record. NCBI's taxonomy places the organism in Eukaryota, Metazoa, Arthropoda, Insecta, Diptera, Drosophilidae. The transcript has 2 exons.
GAUGAUUUCUGUUUUCGUUUUACCCGCCGCGGCGCGUCACUUUUCUGCUAUUGUUGAGCCGUGCGGACGUAAAUUUAAAGGGAAGUAUCUGAUGCUGUAAAAACCGAAGGGUCCACUAAGAAGACCUAUAUAAGUACAAUAAGAAACUGCUUUCGGGUCCAGAAAGGUCGACUGGCAAAGCAGAAGUUCGAUAAUAAGGACAAACUAGAUAAUAAGACAUAGCUUUAGAUUUAGAUGUAGAUAGAUAUAAUAAAAUAGUAAUAAUACAUAGUUUAAGACUAUACAUUUAUUUAUAGAUAUUAAGAAAUAAUAAAUAAUAAUUUUUAAAAAUUAAAACAAAAAAUACUGCAUUACUCAAGCGUUUCUAUCUUUCAAUUAGUAAUCAAUUAUUUCUCCAAUUACAUUGCAUUAAGAAGUAAGCCAUUUUAUAUAGUGGGAAAAUGGGUUGCAGGUAUAUUGUGUUGUAAUGUACGCACAUUACUAACCCAUAAGCGAUUUUGAAAAUGUAUAAGGCGUUUUCUUCAGGUUGCGGAAUUUCUACAUUACAAUAUUUAAAAAGUAUACGCAUGGGUAAUGGAGAGCCGAAGGAAACUUCGUCACCUCAUUACUUUCUGCAUUACAAAAUUCAAUAAUUUCAUGCACCCGGGAGAAAAAGCGGCCAUUCCUUAAAAAAGUAAGGCAGCUUGUAAUCGAUCUUUUCAUGCACACAGGCGACAAGUAAUCCAUGAGUAAUGGACAAAA